UACGUAGGGUGCAAGCGUUAAUCGGAAUUACUGGGCGUAAAGCGUGCGCAGGCGGUUGUGUAAGCCAGAUGUGAAAUCCCCGGGCUUAACCUGGGAAUGGCAUUUGGGACUGCAAGGCUUGAGUGCGGCAGAGGAGACUAGAAUUCCUGGUGUAGCAGUGAAAUGCGUAGAUAUCAGGAGGAAUACCGAUGGCGAAGGCAGGUCUCUGGGCUGACACUGACGCUCAUGCACGAAAGCGUGGGGAGCAAACGGG
This 253-nucleotide ribosomal RNA is filed under the name uncultured bacterium. RNAcentral describes it as "partial 16S ribosomal RNA". It matches the Rfam family "Bacterial small subunit ribosomal RNA", at positions 524 to 776 of the family's 1533-position model. The record is from RNAcentral.